GGGUGCGAUCAUACCAGCACUAAUGCAUCGGAUCCCAUUAGAACUCCGCAGUUAAGCGUGCUUGGGUGAGAGUAGUACUUAGGAUGGGUGACCCCCUGGGAAGUCCUCGUGUUGGACCCC
Ribosomal RNA from Macadamia integrifolia, 120 nucleotides. Lineage: Eukaryota; Viridiplantae; Streptophyta; Magnoliopsida; Proteales; Proteaceae. The record is from RefSeq and is a predicted model, not a curated record.